Molecule: long non-coding RNA, 2559 nt
Organism: Gadus macrocephalus (Pacific cod)
Lineage: Eukaryota; Metazoa; Chordata; Actinopteri; Gadiformes; Gadidae
Exons: 2
Source: RefSeq, a predicted model, not a curated record
GAAGCCAGAUUGGAACGGUUCGUGGAGAUUGUUAGUGUCGAGGUGGGACUGUAGUUGUGCGGCAACCACCCUUUCAAGUGUUUUGGAGAUGAAAGGGAGAUUGGAGAUGGGCCGGUAAUGGUUAAGGUCAGUUGGGUCAGCACCAGGUUUUUUCAGGAUGGGAGUGAUGGCAGCCAGCUUGAGAGUGGGGGGUACAGUACCAGUAGUGAGGGAGGAGUUAAUUAUGUUGGUGAUCAUGGGGGCGAUGGACGGAAGACAUGCUUUGACAAGGGAGGUGGGAAGAGGAUCGAGCUGACAGGUGGUGGUUUUGGCUUUGCGGAUGAGUUCUGAAACGGUCUGUUCUGUUACUAGGGUGAAGUCAGAGAGGGAGCUGAUGAGAGGUUGGCCAGAGGUGAUCAUCCAGGGUGGGUCAUCAGAGGGGGUGCGAGAUGAGGCCAGUUGUUGGUGAAUGGUGUUGAUUUUAGAGCUGAAGAAGUCAAGGAACGCAGUGCAUUGGGUGGUGGAAAAGUCUGGAGGGAGAGAUUUAGGAGGCUGAAGUAAGUGGCUGACUGUUGAGAAGAGGACUCUGCUGUUGCCUGUACCAGUGUUGAUGAGGUUGGAGUAGUAUGAGGUUUUGGCAGUAGUGAGGGCAUUCUUGUAGUGAUGGAGGUGGUCCGAAUACAUUUGGCGGUGUACAGUGAGUUGAGUCUUUUUGUAGAGUCGCUCCAGUCGACGACCAGUGGCUUUGAGCUGGCGCAGAUGAGGAGUGAACCAGGGAGCAGUGUGGGUGAAUGAGACUGAACGGGUUUUCAGGGGGGCCAGGGUGGUGAGGGAGGAGGAGAGGCAGUUAUUGUAGUGAGACACCAGGUCAGUCAGGGAGGAAGCUGGGGGAGGGUUGGGGUAGGAGCUGAUCAUGGUGGAGAGGUCUGUGGUGUUGAUAAGUUUGAUGUUUCUGAAGGAGAUGGUCCGUUGUUCCUUGGUUUUGUGUAGUUGGGUAUGAAUGUCAAAAAGUACAGCUUUGUGGUCGGAGAUGGGGAAAUCAAUGACAUCAAGGUUAGUGGGAGUGAUGUCAGUGCAGCAGAUUAAAUCCAGAAUGUGACCUUUGUUAUGGGUUGGGAGGUUGACAUGUUGUGUGAUGCCAAGACAGUCCAGAAGUGAUGUGAAGUCAUUAACAAAAGUACAGGAUGGGUUGUCAAUGUGGAUGUUGAAAUCACCAAGGAGGAUAACAGUGGGGGACAUUGCACAUACAGAUGUAAGUAGAGAUGAGAAUUCAUUGAGGAAAACGGCGGAGGGUUUUGGCGGUCUGUAAAUGGUGACAAUGAUAGUGGGUUUGGGGCCUGAGAGUUUUACAGCUAGACAUUCAAAGGAGGAAUGAAGGGGGACUGUGACAGUGGUGACUUUGAUGUUAUCACGAUGGAGGAGAGCGAGGCCACCCCCCCUCCCAUUAACCCGGGGUUUACUAAUGAAAGAAAAACCUGGUGGGACAGCUUCAUUUAGAUGGGAGAAGUCAUUUGGUUGUUGCCAGGUCUCAGUGAGGCAGAGAAUGUCUAGGCUCUGGUCAACAAUAAAGUCAUUUAUCAAAAGGGCCUUAUUACUGAGGGAUCUGGUGUUCAGCAGACAGAGUUUCAGACAGGUGAGUGGAGUGUAGCAGGUUGCUUUGAGCAGAGGGAACAGUACACUGUGAUUGACGGGACUGACCGUACGGGCUGUGCGAGGAGGGGGGCGGGGCCCAGUGGACCAGAAGGAGCGGAUGUUUUUGUUGCUGGUGUGAGUGUACUGAAAAUUCCGUCCAGAGCCUCGGUGGAUGUAUUUUGGUCGUUUGAGAAUGUCCUUGUGGGAUGCAAGCUGAGGUGGUUGGGUCCUUGAGAAGAUCCGUAGACGUAACAUCUCCGUUACCGAGUAACGGAGCGGCAGAGAUGCGCUCGUUACGUGAGAGUCAAACAUAGCGCAAUCCAGAGGAACAGGUUAAAAUCCACAGGUUGUGAAGUCGGAAGAAGCCAGCGGUAGAUCCAGGCGAUUAUGGUGAAGCCACAGAGCCAGCACGGCGGAGGCAGAGGAGUGGAGCAAGCCGGUUGUAGCUACGCUGGAGACGGGGAAGCCAGUUGGACGGCGCCGGGGGUUAACAGCAGUCUAGCCGGCCAGCAGGUGUCAUCCACCAACAGCUGCACGACUCCACGCACAAAACACAAAACAAAACACGCAGACGUUUAACGUUCAGAAAUAAAUAAAUAAAUCAAGAAAACUGACGCAGUUACUUAACUUAACUUUGUAGUCCGAUCCGAGGUCCAGAAGGGUUUCAGACAGAAGGUGUUGAAAGUAAGCAAAAGAAAACUGAUUAAAAAGCAACAGCGUCCACCAACUGUACGACCUCACGUAUAAAACACGUAAAAAUAAAGAAAACGGGCGCACUGACAAUAGCGAAAAGUGACUAUAUAUAACAAGUAAACUUAGCUAAACUACUAAAGACCAAAAAAAACGACAAAAUGUUCAAUGCAAUCGUGAGAAAUAUUGGAAAUACUGAAUAAAAACAAGCCAUACAGAGCGGCGUUAGACUCGCCAGCGUCCCCGUUACUAGGCAAC